This 301-nucleotide ribosomal RNA is filed under the name uncultured bacterium. RNAcentral describes it as "partial 16S ribosomal RNA". It matches the Rfam family "Bacterial small subunit ribosomal RNA", at positions 509 to 807 of the family's 1533-position model. The record is from RNAcentral.
CAGCCGCCACGGUAAUACGUAGGUGGCAAGCGUUGUCCGGAAUUAUUGGGCGUAAAGGGCUCGCAGGCGGUUUCUUAAGUCUGAUGUGAAAGCCCCCGGCUCAACCGGGGAGGGUCAUUGGAAACUGGGAAACUUGAGUGCAGAAGAGGAGAGUGGAACUCCACGUGUAGCGGUGAAAUGCGUAGAGAUGUGGAGGAACACCAGUGGCGAAGGCGACUCUCUGGUCUGUAACUGACGCUGAGGAGCGAAAGCGUGGGGAGCGAACAGGAUUAGAUACCCCUGUAGUCCCUGUCUCUUAUAC